AUUUUGAGUGGCAACACUGCCAGAUUAAAGGACUUUCGCUUCGACCAUGAUUGGGAACGGCGAGGGAAAGAUUUCACGUUUUCGUGUUUUGUUGGCCAGGUUCGCCUGCAUAUUAAAAAUUAUGUCUCUGAAGUAGAGAAUAAUAAUUUUAUUUAUCUCAACAAUAAUGCUUCCUUAUUUUGUUCAUUUUGAAAUAGAUAUUUUUAUCUGAUUUCGGGGAUGGUGGGAACGAGAGAUUACACAUAUGCAAUCUACUCUGGGAUUCUUUCAUUUUUAUAUUUCCUUUGUAUUUUAUUGUUUUAUUUUAUUAUAUACGUAACUAAUUAAUAGAAAUAUGACUUUAGAAGAAAAUACACUUGGGUUACCAUGAUGUAGGAAAAAUUUAAAUAUGAAAAAUUUAUAAUUUGAAAUUAAGAUGGAACUUAAAUGAGUUACAAACAGAACUCAAACUUAAAAUUAUAUUUCGAUUUCAUUCUGUCAUUUUCGUUAAACUUCAAUCAUCGAGGCCUGGAUAUUUGAAUUUGAAAUUUAAAUAAAACACUAAAAGGUAUCUUUUCAAUAUUUUGAAAGCUGAGUCUACCGUGGAUCACCAGAGCAAUGAAACAUCUGUCCGUAUUAAAGUAGAACCUUUGGGCUGGAGAUCCUGCUCAUCGAAACUUCCUGUUGAAACCUUAACACCCUGUGGAUGUCCAGAGCAAAUUGACAAUUCAAGUAAUUGGUAUGAAUUAAUGCAGAAGAGGUACAGACUUUCUCAUUAUUUAGUUGAUCUAUGCUUAUUUACAAGGUUAUUUGAUUUCUGGUGGUAUACUCGUUAAGCUCAUUAUACUCGUUAAGCUCAUUAUACUCGUUAAGCUCAUUAUACUCGUUAAGCACAUUAUACUCAUCACGUAUUUUUUUUUAUUGUAGUAAAUAUAUUAAGAACCUUCUCUCUACGACUGAGCAACCUUAGUAUUUGUUUAAAUUGUAAUUUCUGAAGUGAUGGUUUUGGGGUUAGCUAGGUAGGCUUAUUUAUUAUAUUUUGUUACAUGAGGGUAAGUGUAAAAAAAUGGAAAUUAAACUACCUUAAUGUUGAAUAUCUA
This is a long non-coding RNA of Melitaea cinxia (Glanville fritillary), 1079 nucleotides long. RefSeq lists it as uncharacterized. The record is from RefSeq and is a predicted model, not a curated record. The transcript has 3 exons. NCBI's taxonomy places the organism in Eukaryota, Metazoa, Arthropoda, Insecta, Lepidoptera, Nymphalidae.